Molecule: ribosomal RNA, 369 nt
Filed under: uncultured myxomycete
Lineage: Eukaryota; Evosea; Eumycetozoa
Description: SSU rRNA
Rfam family: Eukaryotic small subunit ribosomal RNA
Source: RNAcentral
UCUCUCUGAAUCUGCGAACGGCUCCGCAAACCAGUUGUAAACCCAAGCACAGUCCCGCCCGGCUUCAGCAAUGAGGCCGGGCACUAUAUGGAUAACCGUGGUAAUUCUGAGGCUAAUACAUGUCUAAAACGAUACCGUCCUGGGCAUCGCGCUCGGGGCGGGAACGUGCGAGCUUAAAAUACUGGGAUUCCAAUCGCGAAAGAACGCACGUUCAGACCACCGUCGAGUGAGCCGUCCUCCGGGGCGGUUCUGGUGGCGCUUGCAACGGGCUUCUGACCUAUCAACUACACAGCAGCGUAAGGGACAUGCUGUGGUGACAACGGGUACAGAGGAUUAGGGUUCGAUCCUGGAGAGUGGGCCUGAGAGAUU